AUACUUACCUGGCUGGGGAGACACCAUGCUCACAAAGAUGGUUUUCCCAGGGCGAGACUUAUUCAUUGUACUCCGGAUGUGCUGAUCCCUACAAUUUCACCAAAUGUGGGAAACUCAGCUGCAUAAUUUGUGGUAGUGGGGGACUUUGUUUGCGCUCUUCCCUA
Molecule: small nuclear RNA, 164 nt
Filed under: Carlito syrichta (Philippine tarsier)
Lineage: Eukaryota; Metazoa; Chordata; Mammalia; Primates; Tarsiidae
Description: U1 spliceosomal RNA (ENSTSYG00000036441.1)
Rfam family: U1 spliceosomal RNA
About the family: U1 is a small nuclear RNA (snRNA) component of the spliceosome (involved in pre-mRNA splicing). Its 5' end forms complementary base pairs with the 5' splice junction, thus defining the 5' donor site of an intron.
Source: Rfam by way of RNAcentral